Molecule: ribosomal RNA, 467 nt
Filed under: uncultured bacterium
Lineage: Bacteria
Description: SSU rRNA
Rfam family: Bacterial small subunit ribosomal RNA
Source: RNAcentral
AGGAUAAACGCUGGCGGCGUGCCUAACACAUGCAAGUCGAACGCGCUUUCGGGCUUCGGUGCGAGAGCGAGUGGCGGACGGGUGAGUAACACAUGGGUACCUGCCUUUCAGUGAGGGAUACCGGCGAGAAAUCGCCGACAAUACCGCAUGGGCUUGUGGGAACACAAGCAAAGUGGCGCAAGCCACGCUGGAAGAUGGGCCUGUGGCCGAUUAGCUAGUUGGGGGGGUAACGGCCUCCCAAGGCGACGAUCGGUAGCUGGUCUGAGAGGACGAUCAGCCACACUGGGAUUGAGAACGGCCCAGACUCCUACGGGGGGCAGCAGUGAGGAAUUUUCCGCAAUGGACGAAAGUCUGACGGAGCAACGCCGCGUGCAGGAGGAAGGUUUCGGAUCGUAAACUGCUUUCUCGGGGACGAGCAAGGACGGUACCCGAGGAAGAAGCCCGGCUAACUACGCGCCAGCAGCCGC